This 300-nucleotide ribosomal RNA is filed under the name uncultured Parachlamydia sp. Its description in RNAcentral is "bacterial SSU rRNA". It matches the Rfam family "Bacterial small subunit ribosomal RNA", at positions 496 to 795 of the family's 1533-position model. The record is from RNAcentral. Lineage: Bacteria; Pseudomonadati; Chlamydiota; Chlamydiia; Parachlamydiales; Parachlamydiaceae.
GCUAACUCCGUGCCAGCAGCUGCGGUAAUACGGAGGGUGCAAGCAUUAAUCGGAUUUAUUGGGCGUAAAGGGGGCGUAGGCGGAGAUGUAAGCCAGACGUGAAAGCCCGGGGCUCAACCCCGGAAUAGCAUUUGGAACUACAUUUCUUGAGGAUAGGCGGAGAAAACGGAAUUCUGCAUGUAGCGGUGAAAUGCGUAGAUAUGCAGAAGAACACCGGUGGCGAAGGCGGUUUUCUAGCUUAUUCCUGACGCUGAGGCCCGAAAGCUAGGGGAGCGAACAGGAUUAGAUACCCGUGUAGUC